Molecule: ribosomal RNA, 431 nt
Filed under: uncultured bacterium
Lineage: Bacteria
Description: partial 16S ribosomal RNA
Rfam family: Bacterial small subunit ribosomal RNA
Source: RNAcentral
AACGAACGCUGGCGGCAGGCCUAACACAUGCAAGUCGAGCGCCCUUUCGGGGGAGCGGCGGACGGGUGAGUAACGCGUGGGAAGAUGCCCUUCUCUACGUAAUAGCCCCGGGAAACUGAGAUUAAUACCGGAUACGCCCUUUGGGGGAAAGAUUUAUCGGGGAAGGAUUAGCCCGCGUUGGAUUAGGUAGUUGGUGGGGUAAUGGCCUACCAAGCCGACGAUCCAUAGCUGGUUUGAGAGGAUGAUCAGCCACACUGGGACUGAGACACGGCCCAGACUCCUACGGGAGGCAGCAGUGGGGAAUCUUAGACAAUGGGUGCAAGCCUGAUCUAGCCAGGCCGCGUGAGUGAUGAAGGCCUUAGGGUUGUAAAGCUCUUUCAGCUGGGAAGAUAAUGACGGUACCAUAAGAAGAAGCCCCGGCUAACUCCGUG